GCAGCUCUGCUUUGCACUGAUGAAAGGAGUAUUUGUUCCCCAGCCAGCCUGCUCGUGGUUUGCUGCCCUGUGUUGGAGAGAUUUCCUGGUACCAACCUCAAAUGCCACUUCCUCUGGCAGGGUAUCCAUUUUCUCUCAAAUCUGCCUUCUUGUCUUCUUGAAAGUUCUAAUAAUUUUUCAAUCACUGUUGGACUAAUACAAAGUAUAGAACUGCUUCCUUUGGCUCCCAUAUUCUAAGAGUAUGAGUGCAAGUCAGCAAGAACACUGCCCAAGGAGACCUGCAGUGGAAAUGUACACCCUGAAAAUAGAGCAUUCCAUGGAAGAAGAAUGAAAAAGGCUAUGAAUUCAGGUAGAAAUAGAAAAUCUGCUGAGAGGAGAAAUCGCAGCAUGAGAGGCCUCGUGGGCUGCAGGAAGGAGGUCAGCACCACAUUUCAGAGAGGCUGUGACACAGAGCUCCUGUUUCUGCACUCUGAUGAGCUGGCUGCAGGACCGUGAUGCACGCUCCAUGGCCAGCACCGACACACCGGACGUGCUUUCCAUGGGCACCUCUCCCGGGCCACUUGGAACCAAAUAUUUUUGCCAGUGACUUAGUGAUAAACUGAGAAGUGCAUUCAUUCAAUUUUUAAAUAGCAGAAUGCUGUAAGGGUUGUGAGUGUACUAGGGGGUGGGGUGAGGUGUGAGAAUGUUUCUGUCUGAUCCUGCCAAAGUCAGAUGUGUUUUCUGUAACACUUUGUAGCUGGCUGGGGUGGCCCAUCUGAAAGCCCAAGCACCAAAGGUCUCUGUGCUGGGUCCUGCCAAACCCCUUGUGGGCUCAGCCCAGGGCUCACAGACAAGGUGGUCUCAGCACCUUGUGUUCCCCACCCCUGUCCUGGGGGUACCUGCACUGCCAGCCUGGCUGACCUGGGGCAUGGAGACUUCCACCUCCUACAACACAGCCAGCAUGGAACAAGGAAUGAGCAUAGCCAAGACCAAACAUGAUCUUCAUGAUCUACUGCUCAAAGCUCACUUUGCUGCACAGGAGGUCCUGUGGAUGGGGAACAUACAGGCAGCCCCAGAAGGGGUUAUUAGCCCCCCAACAUGUUCCCCAGCCAGCCUGCUGCCAUAGGGACAGCCUCAACAUUGGGACUCAAAGCCUAAAAUCAUCUUAACAUGCAGAUUUAAAUUGCUUUAAUAAUGAUUUUCACUUGGGCUUGGAGUUGCACGUGAUCUCUAUGUUUUACAGGGACAUUUAGUGCUGUCUCCUCUGCUGAGAGGCAGCUUUGUGUGUGGACAAGCAAGUGCCCAGGCUCAUAAAGGGAGGGUGGACUCCCAGACCUGGUAAGCCUGCUGCAAAGCUGCUGCUGUCAAGAUCUAGAGGGAGGAAAACUGGGCUCUGCUCCACCUGCCCAGGCUGCUUCCUGCUCUCACAAAGCCCUUAGAAAAAUGAAACCAGUCAAAAAUUUGCAAAAAAAACCCUGCCCUAAAAUAAAAAA
Serinus canaria (Common canary) is the source of this 1472-nucleotide long non-coding RNA. RefSeq lists it as uncharacterized. The record is from RefSeq and is a predicted model, not a curated record. NCBI's taxonomy places the organism in Eukaryota, Metazoa, Chordata, Aves, Passeriformes, Fringillidae. The transcript has 5 exons.